Molecule: non-coding RNA, 149 nt
Filed under: Devosia limi
Lineage: Bacteria; Pseudomonadati; Pseudomonadota; Alphaproteobacteria; Hyphomicrobiales; Devosiaceae
Also listed under: 1 other name
Description: FMN sequence
Rfam family: FMN riboswitch aptamer (RFN element)
About the family: The RFN element is a highly conserved domain that is found frequently in the 5'-untranslated regions of prokaryotic mRNAs that encode for flavin mononucleotide (FMN) biosynthesis and transport proteins.
Source: RNAcentral
AUUCGUUCUCAGGGCGGGGUGUAACUCCCCACCGGCGGUAAGGCGGCAACGCCAAGCCCGCGAGCGCCUUCGGACUCAGGUCCGUGGGGUCAGCAGAUCCGGUGUAACUCCGGAGCCGACGGUCAUAGUCCGGAUGAGAGAGAACGGGU